GACAGAGGGGGCAAGCGUUGUCCGGAUUCAUUGGGCGUAAAGAGCGUGUAGGCGGCCAGGUAGGUCGGUUGUGAAAACUGGAGGCUCAACCUUCAGAGGUCGACCGAAACCAUCUGGCUAGAGUCCGGGAGAGGAGAGUGGAAUUCCUGGUGUAGCGGUGAAAUGCGCAGAUAUCAGGAAGAACACCAAUGGCGAAGGCAGCUCUCUGGGACGGUACUGACGCUGAGACGCGAAAGCGUGGGGAGCGAACAGG
This 253-nucleotide ribosomal RNA is filed under the name uncultured bacterium. RNAcentral describes it as "partial 16S ribosomal RNA". It matches the Rfam family "Bacterial small subunit ribosomal RNA", at positions 524 to 776 of the family's 1533-position model. The record is from RNAcentral.